GUGAGUCAUCGAAUCUUUGAACGCACAUUGCGCCCGCCAGCAUUCUGGCGGGCAUGCCUGUUCGAGCGUCAUUUCAACCCUCAGGCCCUGCCUGGCGUUGGAGGACUGCGCACGCAGCCUCCCAAAGCGAGCGGCGGCGGCGCCCCGAAACCGAACGCAGUAGUUUUCUCUCGUUCUGGGUCCGGGUCGUUGUCCUGCCGGAAAACCCCCUUCUAUUCAAUGGUUGACCUCGAAUCAGGUAGGAAUACCCGCUGAACUUAAGCAUAUCAAUAAGCGGAGGA
RNAcentral lists this unclassified non-coding RNA (281 nucleotides) under Ascomycota sp. RNAcentral's name for it is "partial contains 5.8S ribosomal RNA, internal transcribed spacer 2, and large subunit ribosomal RNA". The stretch from base 1 to 71 matches the Rfam family "5.8S ribosomal RNA", at positions 84 to 154 of the family's 154-position model. The record is from RNAcentral. Lineage: Eukaryota; Fungi; Ascomycota.